CCCAGCCUCGGCCGGACUUUCUGUUUCCCCGGAGCCUUCAGCCCAACUACAAGUCAACCCGCACCCAACCACACCCCUCGCCCCCUGUGGACAUUGGCCGUCCUCUCUUCCCUCCUGUCAGACAUUUGUCAUUUCACAGUCCGGUUACGACUUGUCCUAACAACUAUCUAAAAACUGCAGAGGCAGGCAAACAGCAACACAUGCCUCCUGUCAAGCCAGUUGCAGAACGAGCUCUGCCCUCUGCUGACAGGCUGCAGAAACUACAGCUGACUGAGCCUCCUGCUGGCACUGGCAUUCAGCUCCAUACAGCUUUGAAGAACCCACAAUGGAGAAUGGAUUAUCAGAG
Molecule: long non-coding RNA, 346 nt
Organism: Seriola dumerili (greater amberjack)
Lineage: Eukaryota; Metazoa; Chordata; Actinopteri; Carangiformes; Carangidae
Exons: 3
Source: RefSeq, a predicted model, not a curated record